CAGUGCCGGCCUCUGCCUCUGCCCGUCCCCCACGAGCUGCCUGCUGCCGGCUCCUUUCUCCCGCUAACGUUAGCCAGCGGCACACCUGCCCCAGGGCCGUGCCUCCCUCCCCGCCGGUGCCGCUGCCGGGGCCCGGCCCGCGGGUCCCUCACGCCGCCCGCAGGGAGACAAGAUGGCGCCCGUCCCGCGCCGGCGGCAGCGCUCUGCGCUCCUCCCGCGCUGCCCGCCGCAGAAUAGAAACCAUCCUCUUGAGCUCUCCUGCCACGCAGUGGCUGCUGUGGAGAACUGCCGGAUACCGUGCGUCAGGCCUCGGAUAAGUCGGAAGGUUUGAGGCAGGUUUACUUCCCCCGCCCUGUUGUGGUUAGUUGGAAGUACAAACCCACCCCCCACCCCCGACAUCCUCAGCUCCGGUUUCGUCCAGGCUCGCACAUCGACACAGUCCGGAGCCCAAGUUCCUCGGCUGUUCUUUUCUUCUAGGGGGAAAUAAACAGUAAGAGCGAUUACUUUGAUUUAUUCCAACACUGCUGUUAUCUGUUAAACUGGGACCGGGAGCCGCAUUGGGAGCAGGAGCGCUGGUGCUGGUGUGAGGCGUCAGGAGCCCCACAGAACAGUGCACCUGUCCGGGCUGCCAAAGCCGCCUCCGCUCCUUCAGCGGCCCUGCGCCCUUCCUGCGGCGGUGCUGAGCAGCGCUGCGCUCGGUGCGCUCAGGAGUGCUUGUGAGUCCAGUCUUAAAUGAGAAAUGGCAUUGCAUGGCACCGACAGCACUCUAGCGACUGCCACAGUUGAAAGCAGAAACAACGGCUAUCAGGGAGUCGUCGGCCAAGGAAAGCAAUUCCCAUAGAUGUCAUCUAUGUUUAGCAAAUAUGUUGGGGAGCUGGAUGCUGAUGGAUUGACCAUGAGUGAUCAACCUUUCACUGUUAGACCACUGGUCCUAAAGAAGCACAGAACUGGGAGAAUUACCAAUUACAGGUUUGUAUUUGAUUCUGUGAAAUAUGCUUGCUGGACAUGACCCAUUUCACAGUGAACAAAUAUGCAUUUCUUAAAAACCUGCAGUAAUAUAAGAGCUCAUUAUCACAAAUACCAAUUUACACAAACCAUUUUUUCUUUCUGCAUCAGAUCCUUUAGAUUAGGUUUGGGAGAGCAGCAUUUAUUGUUUUGAAGCUGCACUUCUGCUGCUGCUAAGCAGUUCAGGAAUACAAAAAGAACACCCAGUAAUGGCAAGAAAUUUAGAAAAUAAGAAGUCAGCCAGAGCUACUUUAUGGAGAUUAGACCUGGGGACACCACAGACCUUUAGAUCUCUGUGACAGGGAAGGAGUGUGCUAUUUACAGUAAGUAUUUGGAAAGCUCUCUUAGCUUCCUUGAGACCGAGAAAUUGGUUUGGCAGUAUGGACUGUGCUAUGACAUUCUUUGUACUUCCCAGUGACUGCUGCGGUUUUUUCGUGAUUAAAUUUCUGGUGAGCACCAAACUUAGAAGAUUACUCUUAUAAUAACUAAUAAUUUCUUUCAUUUGAGUUAUAACUCUCUUUAAUAUAAAAGUUUCCUUUAUUUCUAUUUUUCCUUUUCAAAUAUUCUUUUCCGCUGUUUUAAAUUACAAUUUACAUUACUAAAUAUGAUUUUCCACUGUUUAUUUUAAUUGUCAUGUUUUACUGACAAAAGCUUAUAAUUGCUUUUGCAAGACUAUGUUUGGCAAGCAUUGUUUUCCUACACUGAUAAUACACCGGUAUCAUAAUGACAACAUGAUCUUAUUUUUGAAAGAGUGAGCCAAUAGGCUCUCUAACAGAUAAAAACCUUUUUACAGACUAAUAUUGUCCUUUACACCAGUGUUUGAUAUCAGAAAUUGAAAUUCUGAGAUCAAAAGUCCUUUCCUGGCUAUGUCAGAGACAUUUUUGGUGAAUUAGGGAAAAUAGUUUUCACCACAUUAUCUCGUUUUCACCAUCAUACUGAGCCUGUCUGGUUCUCAGGCACAUUGGAACUCAGCUUACUGACAUUUUCAAAAUACUUUAACAUAUUUGCAAGUGUUACUUGCAAUUACUAUUAACUCUAUGAGCUGAGGAUUGUAAUAUAGAGGUGUUAAGGUGUUCUAAUGUGUAUGUUGUGGGAACUGUAGAAGGCUUACCCCUGUUGUGACUUUCGCAGUUCUGUUGACUUAAGGGGCUGUUCUGUUGUUUAUAAACAUCUAUUUUUGUAUGUAUGUAUAUGUGUACAUUAAUAUGUACAGGGCAUAUAUUGGCUCUGCAAGGCAGUAGUGUCUCUUCUGGUUUUAUUCCUUCAGUUUCUGCUUCUACCUGUUGAACUUCCUCAUUUUGCACUUUGUUCCAGGAUAUUCGCCACAGAUGACCAGUUAUUUCCUGGUUUUAUUACCAUGUAUUUGAAGCUCUUUCCUUUGCAACUUGAGAGGGCAUCACCUGUGAAUAAGACUUUCCUGUGGGUUUGUUUGGCCAGCUGGUAGAAUUGCAGUCAUGUCAGCAGUGUAGUAUUGCACAGCUGUUUAUGGUACAGCAACCUGCUUGUCCACACUUGGCUCCCUGUUCUGUAAGAAGGAGAAAAUGCUGAGCAUUCAGAGCUGACUGACGCUGUGAUCUUUAUUCACUGUCUAUAGCAAGAUAAAUAAGGAUACUUCGGAAAGAAAUUACAUCUUUAAAAAAAUAGGGGUGUUAGUUAUAUUCUUCAGAUUUUGUUCUUUUCUACAUCUGGCCUGGAAUAUACAAAACCUGCCAUAAGUCCUUCAGAGGGAAUAACAUACCUCAUACCAAUUAACACUAUGAGCAGAUGAUUGCGAGCAGAUGAUUGCAAGCAGAUGUGUGAGGGCUGCUGACCCCUCCAUUCAGCUGGCUGUGAGCACCCAUCUUACUGUUUCCAAGGUGAAAUGAGAUGUGUUCACUCCCCAGGAGGAGAGAUUGGCAGCAGGCAGCUCUGGUUGUCAACAUUUUUAAACUGCUGCUGCUGGUCUUCACAGGGUCAGAAGCAAAAUGCAGGUGAAUUUCAGCUCUGUAGUGAUUCAAGCUGUUGAGGUAAGUCUGCUAGUUCAAGGGGUGAAAGGAGACAGAGUCCAUAACCUUUACUCUCAGGGGGAUCUGGGUAUCAGGAAGGCAUUACCAGUAGCAAAUUUAAAUGUAGUGAUUUUUUUUUUCUGUGCUAGUAACCUUACGGUACAUUAAUGCCCAUUUGAGAGGCUGACUACUGUUUUGAUUUUGGUGAUGACCACGUUAUUUAAAAAGUAGAUUUUCUUAGGCAUAGAAUAAUGGAUUUUCUUUUAUAUGCCCAUUCUUUAUUGAAGUAAUAGUAUUAUUAAAUAUCCAUUUUGUCUGUUGAGAGAAGUUAUCACACAAACCAGUUUGUGGUAUGUGAUUUACAAAAUUUUUGAACUGAAGCAUGUGAUUUCGUGAACUGAAUGGAAUUAAUUAAAUGUGAUUGGUAGUGACUGAUAUCAAUAUUUGUGUUCAGCCAUAUACUUGUCACACAAUUUUUCUAUGAAAAAUGUAACUGGAAACAUGCACUUGCUGUUGGACUUGGCAUCCCAGCAUAGUCCUGGGCAAUAAACUCAAGGUGGUCCUGCUUGAACACAGGUGUUGGACGAGAUGCCCUUCAGUAGUCUCUUCCAAAUACAGCCAUUCUGUGAUUCUGUAGUCAGAAGUCUUUGGGUGUAUUUUGAGUGUGAAUUCAGCCUGCCAUGGCACUGACUGCAUCACAGUUUCUUUUCUGUACCAGCAGCUAUCAGUCUUGCACUCUGAUUUUGGUUAUGAAACUUAAAUUUCCACCUUGAAAAGACAUAUUUGUCAUCUUUGAUUAAUUGCAACCUAUGACUCAAUUUGAUUCUCAAUAUUCUCCACUCAUAAAUUUGUCUUUUCGCAUAAAACACCUAACUUGCAUAUGUUAACUUUACACUGAAGGUAAUGAUGUAUGGUUGGUUGUUUUCACUAAGAUUAUGGCCUCUCUGAUACCAGAAUUGCUACAGCAUGUCUGCUUUCAAGGAAAAAACAAAAAAGGUGUAUACCAAGAAUUUAACCAAUUAAAUCAGUUAUUCAUCUAUGAAGUCUGUGAAGUAUUUGACCAGUUUAAUUGCAAAGAAAGAAUAGCAGAAGACUUCUCAAGGUAAAACAUUUUUCUAACAAAACUAGCUAUUAUUUAUAUAGCAUAAAUGAGGAGAAUAAUAUGGAAAUGAGAAAGAAGCUUUUACUGAUGUAUAGCUGUAGAGGGCUUGUUCCCAACAAAGAGAUCAUGAGCAACACCCAUUCUUACACCUUCCAUUUUAAAAUGAAACAGGACAGGUGACACCCAGUUUUUCCCAGUGCAUAUGUGAUUUGCAUGAGUUAUAAAUUAGUUUUAAUGACAGUGCUGACACACUUGUUUCACUAAUUCUCUGUGUUACCACGGGUCUUGUGGGACUGUUUAGAUACCCUAUCUAUCAUUUAUUCUUUGUCUUGUCUGCUAGGCCUCUUUUCAAGUCUCUCAAAAUUAGAGACCAUUACAAGAGAAAUUACAUAUUUAAAAAAGACUUCAUUCACUCUCAUUCCUUCAUUCCUGAUACAGUAUUUUGAAGUUCAGUGCUAAGAAACUUGCUGAUAGGUAAUUGAAGGUGAAGCAAAUAGUGGCAGGUGGCAGCUGUUUAUUUCAAAGAGGUGAGUUGCAGAAUAGGAGAAGUAUGGAGUGGGAAGCUGAAACUUCCAGACAAAUGAAUGCAUUAAACAUGUGUUGCCCAGAAAAGAAUGACAUUUUAGGGCAGGCCAACAUUUUACAGUAGGCCAAACAACUUUGAAUUGUAACCCCGGAGUUUAGUUAGAGUUACAUGAAUUUGGCUGGGAUGUUACCAGUGAGUAUUCUUGUAAACAUGCAAAGGGAUGUUUUUAAACAGAAUUAACAAAGCUUUGAUCUUCUGUAUAAUCAGAAUAAUUAAAUCUCCAGCGGGGGGUGGUGAUGGUGCUGCUGUUUGUUCAUGUUCAGACGUUUCAGUUUCCUGACUAGGAGAAUAAUUAAUGUGCUAUUUCCUUGGAGAUCUUUCAGAAUUCUGACAAGAUUCUGUCUCUUUUGCCUUGAGAAGCUUUUAAGUGAUGUAGCUAUACCCAAAUACAAUUAACCAUUCGUUUUUCCUGUUAAUGUACUUUCCUGAAAGUUAACUUGCAUGAUUUACAGAUUUAUUUUUAUGUCACUACUGAUGCCUUUUUAUUUUCCAGAGAACGCUCGUUUCGCUGUGCAGCGCCACCUAGUGCACAGAGCUGCUGCUGCAUGCAGGAACAGCUGCGACACUCGGCACGGCCAGGAGGGAUGAGGAGCCUUUCCCGGAUAGCUCAAACAACGUUACUCACAUCUUCAGAAACAGAAGCUUUUUUACUUCCAGCUUUCCUUCUCCAAAAUAUGUGUAGUAUUUGCCUUUUCAUGACUUUAAAUUCAUUCCUAGCUGAAGUAUAGCCUACUCUUACUUUCUUGGUAGUAUGCAUAAUAGCUACGGGGCCAUUAUACUACUACCUAUUGAUGCUUAAUGUGUUCUUUUUUUUUUCAGCACAAGUCCAUGGUUGCUGUUUGCAGUAUAGGAGGCCACAAACUGGAACCCCACAUUUCCAAGGUUUAUGUUUCCAAACACCAAAUUUUUGCCACAUGGUAAUUUCUGUACUUUUUCACAUAGUAAUUUCUUUCUGUUUAUGGAAAUGAGGUACGUAUACAAAGAAAGUAAUUUUGAAUUUAAGUGUAAUGUAACAUUUUCUUUUUUUUCCCCCUUAAGUAGUAAAGUAAAGAUGUAAGUAGUCCAAAUCUGCUGUUAUAAGUGUUUGGGCAAAGUUUUGGAGGAACCAAGCUCAAAAUUAUUACUUUCACGCAUUUUCACUGUUUUGCAGGGUUUGUACUAUUUCUAUCAGUGGUCUCAUUUAAAUUGUGAAACUUUCUAAAAUAAGAUCAUAAGAUAUUCAUCCUCUGUACCAUAAGUAGAAAUUGAUAUUUAGUGUGAAAAUCCUUCAUUUUAGGAUUUCAUUUUAGGCAUCUUCAGAGACUACUGAAGAUGCUGUCUGUAAAUCAGUUUUUGUUACAAAGAAAUCUCAAAUCAACAGCGACAUGUUUCUUUAUAAAUGAUGUUCUGUGUUCACUCAGUUUAGUCUAUACACAGUAGUUUGCAGACAAUCAUGAAAAUAAAUGGCACUUUUACACUUGAUGAAGUAGACAGGUACUCUCUUCAGAAAAUAUUAAUUAACUAAAAAGCAGUCUCUGCAGUGGCUCUGCCUCUAAGUAUAUGUAAUAAUUUAUGCUAUUUAUUUAACAGGUAUGACUAUCUAGUGAUAGAGGCAAUUUAUUUCAAUUAUUAAAUCUUGAAGAUGAGAACAUUGUAAAAGCAAAUAUGUGUGUACAGUCAUUCAAUCACCUUCAUGAGUGAUAAGGGAAGCCUUUUCUUCCCUAAGGCAGGUGCAGAAUUUAAACCUGCUUUUGUCACGAUGUGUGGCAUGAUAGCUACACAAAAAAGCUCCUGCAUUAGCCAGUCUUCACACAUACUUUGUUAAUACCGUUUUACCAUAAACAUGUUCUCUACAGCAACAUUAAUUCUUCCUGUUAGUAAGUUCUGAGUGAAGUUCCAGGUUAGAAUACUUGAUAAAGAGACAAGAUUUGUAGAAAGCAGUAGUAAUGUCCUUAAUUAGUUGUGUAGUUGGCAGAAUCAAGUACAAUCCUUCACCUAAUUGAAGAGCAGCAGGCACCAGACAAAGUAUUACAGUGAUGCCAACACACAAACAAGGGAAGUGUAGUCUGUGAGAGUGCUAAGCAUGAGCAGGCAUGCUUCAUUACUUGCUGAGAGGUCAUCAAAGGACAUAGCAAGCUCAUCAGUCAUAUACCAUAUAUUCCUUGUUCAUCUGCUACAGAAUGCAGAUGGCUGUAAUUAAAUAACUUGUGUAUUGUCACUGUAUGAAUUGAAUCGUGACAGAGAGACGGUCCUUUCUCCCCUUCUAUUUGUUUAAGUGUGCUAAGUGUAACAUAUUAUUAUAACAUUGGCUUAUAUAGAUGACAUCAGGAAAGUAUAGAUUUAAUUCAGCUGUAUUUUAAUUCAUCUCUUCACUUGACAAAAAACAUCCUGUGUAAGGAGAGAACUCUUUAGAAGUCACUUUCUGUGACAGCAGAGUGAUUCACCAAUCCAAGAGCUGAUUUUAGCUGACUGGUUUGCUACUAUAUUUUGCCAUGAAGGAGAAUAAAAUGUAUCAUUAUUUUAUGAAGAGGUUCUUUUCUUCCCCUUGCCAAUUUGCUCUGAAAGUGUUUCUUUAGGUGUAUGCCAAAGCAAGAGAUCUGAUUGAAGUACCGAACCUCAAUUCUACUGUGUAUCAUCUUAAGCAGAACAACUUUUGCUUCUCUUCAUGUGAUUUUUUAUUUCUAAUUUGUUGCCUGUAUUUCAAUUUUGUAUGUUUGGAAAUACUUGCCAGAUCUGAGACUAACAGCAUUGUCAGUUUGUACUGUGAUCAUUUGGGAGCUUUGCAUUUAACUAUUUUAAACAAGUCAAAAUCUGAUAGGCUGGAAAUAAAGAAGCUAAAUGUUUUAAAAUCAAUGGAGGUGAGCUGUCAAAAAAAUUCAAGGAAGUAUUAUAAAAUAUCCUUUAAAUCUGCAAGGAACAGUUUGCUUGUCAUUGUACACAACUUCAAGAAGAUUUGAUUUCUUUGAGCAAUUGAUUCAAAAAUAUCCUUAUUGUAUGAAGAAAUGCCAGGCCAUUGCAUAUAUAUACAGCUGUGUGUACAUUUUAAAUGUAUAAGCUGGACUAUGUGACAACAGGAAUGCAGUCAGAAUAAAAUUCAGGUAAGAGACACCUAUGAAUCCUUUAAGCUCCAUUCUACUAUAAAGAGACUGAUUUGACCUCUGUAUCAAGGCUUUUUCAUCCAGCCCAGGUGGCCAGGUUACCCUUGCUUGAUGCAGAGAGCUGUGAGUGUUCACCUGACCCUUGGAACACAGCUUGGUGUUGCUGCAUAGGCAGACAGUGCUGUAUAUGAAAAAUUACAUUUCUGACUUACAGAAUUACACUUCUGACACUUCUGACACCUUUUGACCUAUCCACAUUGAAUUUCACCUGCUCUUUUAUAAUCUGCCUCAUUAUACCUCUGCAACUCUGCAUAGUCAGGCACAGUCUGUACUGUGCUUAGAAUCAUUAGUGACAUUCAUCACCUUCUUUUUCACUCCUUUCCAAUUCAGUUUUGAAUAAUUUGAAAACAGGCAUACCGAAUGCAAGGACUGGGGCACUCUAUAAGUCACCAAUAUUACUGUUUCCUAUUCAGAAUAGUCCCACCACUUCUCUGGAAGCUUCAUGUGGAAUGCAAAUUCCAGAGAACAUGCUAGCUAAAAAGUCAUUGCCUUUAGGAGAUGCAAAGUAUUUUACGUCUCUGACAAUUAGAAGCAGUUCUCAGAUCACACCUUCUCCUCAAGCAGGACUCAAAAGAUCCUACAUCUUACAGAUGCAAAAUUUACUUCUUGGUAUCUUGCCAAACCCCAAUACUCUCUGGCUGCUUUUAGAUAUUCCACAUGAGGAGUGUUUAAUGUUUAAUAUCAAAUUUACUUAUUUGGUAUAGUUGGCAUUACAUGGCAGUUCAAUUUAGCAGAGUGAUACAGAAAUCAGUUGAAAUCACAGCACAAGCAAUAUAGCAGUUGUGAUGUUCAGCUGUAGUUAAAUCUCUGUUGUAGUGUGAUUGUCAUUACUGGUCCCUCUGUGCUCACUGUCAUGACACUGGACAUCCUCAGUGACCUGUAAAGAAUAAAUGGAUAAAAGCCA
Taeniopygia guttata (zebra finch) is the source of this 8719-nucleotide non-coding RNA. The record is from RefSeq and is a predicted model, not a curated record. Lineage: Eukaryota; Metazoa; Chordata; Aves; Passeriformes; Estrildidae.